Molecule: non-coding RNA, 72 nt
Organism: Pangasianodon gigas (Mekong giant catfish)
Lineage: Eukaryota; Metazoa; Chordata; Actinopteri; Siluriformes; Pangasiidae
Source: the annotation of a GenBank genome assembly
CAAAAAAAUUGCAUAGAGGAUGGAGGAUGCUCAGUUGUGUGUGUAUACAUGUAUGUGUGUGUGUGUGUGUUC